This 437-nucleotide ribosomal RNA is filed under the name uncultured Oscillospiraceae bacterium. Its description in RNAcentral is "bacterial SSU rRNA". It matches the Rfam family "Bacterial small subunit ribosomal RNA", at positions 341 to 792 of the family's 1533-position model. The record is from RNAcentral. Lineage: Bacteria; Bacillati; Bacillota; Clostridia; Eubacteriales; Oscillospiraceae.
ACGGAAGGCAGCAGUGGGGAAUAUUGGGCAAUGGGGGCAACCCUGACCCAGCAACGCCGCGUGAAGGAAGAAGGCUUUCGGGUUGUAAACUUCUUUUGCCAGGGACGAAGAACGUGACGGUACCUGGAGAAAAGGCCACGGCUAACUACGUGCCAGCAGCCGCGGUAAUACGUAGGUGGCAAGCGUUGUCCGGAUUUACUGGGUGUAAAGGGCGUGUAGGCGGAGCAGCAAGUCAGAUGUGAAAUCUCCGGGCUUAACCCGGAAACUGCAUUUGAAACUGUUGCCCUUGAGUAUCGGAGAGGCAGGCGGAAUUCCUAGUGUAGCGGUGAAAUGCGUAGAUAUUAGGAAGAACACCAGUGGCGAAGGCGGCCUGCUGGACGACAACUGACGCUGAGGCGCGAAAGUGCGGGUAGCAAACAGGAUUAGAUACCCUGGUA